This 253-nucleotide ribosomal RNA is filed under the name uncultured bacterium. Its description in RNAcentral is "partial 16S ribosomal RNA". It matches the Rfam family "Bacterial small subunit ribosomal RNA", at positions 524 to 776 of the family's 1533-position model. The record is from RNAcentral.
UACGGGGGGGGCAAGCGUUGUUCGGAAUUACUGGGCGUAAAGGGCUUGUAGGCGGCCAACUAAGUCAGACGUGAAAUCCCUCGGCUUAACCGGGGAACUGCGUCUGAUACUGGAUGGCUUGAGUUCGGGAGAGGGAUGCGGAAUUCCAGGUGUAGCGGUGAAAUGCGUAGAUAUCUGGAGGAACACCGGUGGCGAAGGCGGCAUCCUGGACCGGUAUUGACGCUGAGGCGCGAAAGCUAGGGGAGCAAACGGG